GGUGAGAUGGCCGAGUUGGUUAUGGCGCCAGGUUAAGGUUCUGCGGGCAUUUGCCUACAGCAAACUCGCUUCUUAACAUAUUUCCUGGUCACGUUUCGUGGCGUGGGUUCGAGUCCCACUCUCAUCA
This is a non-coding RNA of Bimuria novae-zelandiae CBS 107.79, 127 nucleotides long. Lineage: Eukaryota; Fungi; Ascomycota; Dothideomycetes; Pleosporales; Didymosphaeriaceae. The record is from the annotation of a GenBank genome assembly.